GAUGAACGCUGGCGGCGUGCCUAAUACAUGCAAGUCGAGCGAACGGACGAGAAGCUUGCUUCUCUGAUGUUAGCGGCGGAAGUGUGAGUAACACGUGGGUAACCUCCCUAUAAGACUGUGAUAACUUCGGGAAACCGGAGCUAAUACCGGCUGAUAUUUUGAACCGCAUGGUUCAAAAGUGAAAGACGGUCUUGCUGUCACUUAUAGAUGGGUCCGCGCUGCAUUAGCUAGUUGGUCAGGUAACGGCUUACCAAGUCAACGAUGCAUAGCCGACCUGAGAGGGUGAUCGGCCACACUGGAACUGAGACACGGUCCAGACUCCUACGGGAGGCAGCAGUAGGGAAUCUUGCGCAAUGGGCGAAAGCCUGACGGAGCAACGCCGCGUGAGUGAUGAAGGUCUUCGGGUCGUAAACCUCUGUUAUUAGGGAAGAACAUAUGUGUAAGUAACUGUGCACAUCAUGACGGUACCUUAUCAGAAAGCCACGGCUAACUACGUG
RNAcentral lists this ribosomal RNA (497 nucleotides) under uncultured bacterium. RNAcentral's name for it is "partial 16S ribosomal RNA". It matches the Rfam family "Bacterial small subunit ribosomal RNA", at positions 28 to 507 of the family's 1533-position model. The record is from RNAcentral.